This 35-nucleotide ribosomal RNA is filed under the name Talaromyces minioluteus. RNAcentral describes it as "partial 28S ribosomal RNA". Lineage: Eukaryota; Fungi; Ascomycota; Eurotiomycetes; Eurotiales; Trichocomaceae. The record is from RNAcentral.
UUGACCUCGGAUCAGGUAGGAGUUACCCGCUGAUA